GGGUAGUUUGACUGGGGCGGUCUCCUCCUAAAGAGUAACGGAGGAGCACGAAGGUUGGCUAAUCCUGGUCGGACAUCAGGAGGUUAGUGCAAUGGCAUAAGCCAGCUUGACUGCGAGCGUGACGGCGCGAGCAGGUGCGAAAGCAGGUCAUAGUGAUCCGGUGGUUCUGAAUGGAAGGGCCAUCGCUCAACGGAUAAAAGGUACUCCGGGGAUAACAGGCUGAUACCGCCCAAGAGUUCAUAUCGACGGCGGUGUUUGGCACCUCGAUGUCGGCUCAUCACAUCCUGGGGCUGAAGUAGGUCCCAAGGGUAUGGCUGUUCGCCAUUUAAAGUGGUACGCGAGCUGGGUUUAGAACGUCGUGAGACAGUUCGGUCCCUAUCUGCCGUGGGCGCUGGAGAACUGAGG
Molecule: ribosomal RNA, 405 nt
Filed under: Escherichia coli
Lineage: Bacteria; Pseudomonadati; Pseudomonadota; Gammaproteobacteria; Enterobacterales; Enterobacteriaceae
Description: partial 23S ribosomal RNA
Rfam family: Bacterial large subunit ribosomal RNA
Source: RNAcentral